GUACCGGAAGAAUCAGCACCGGCUAACUUCGUGCCAGCAGCCGCGGUAAUACGAAGGGUGCAAGCGUUACUCGGAAUUACUGGGCGUAAAGGGUGCGUAGGUGGUUUUUUAAGUCUGAUGUGAAAGCCCUGGGCUCAACCUGGGAAUGGCANUGGAUACUGNAAAGCUAGAGUGCGGUAGAGGGUAGUGGAAUUCCCGGUGUAGCAGUGAAAUGCGUAGAGAUCG
This 225-nucleotide ribosomal RNA is filed under the name uncultured Lysobacteraceae bacterium. Its description in RNAcentral is "uncultured Xanthomonadaceae bacterium partial 16S ribosomal RNA". It matches the Rfam family "Bacterial small subunit ribosomal RNA", at positions 475 to 699 of the family's 1533-position model. Lineage: Bacteria; Pseudomonadati; Pseudomonadota; Gammaproteobacteria; Lysobacterales; Lysobacteraceae. The record is from RNAcentral.